This 75-nucleotide transfer RNA is filed under the name Candidatus Woesearchaeota archaeon. Its description in RNAcentral is "tRNA-Glu". It matches the Rfam family "tRNA". Rfam says of the family: Transfer RNA (tRNA) molecules are approximately 80 nucleotides in length. Their secondary structure includes four short double-helical elements and three loops (D, anti-codon, and T loops). Lineage: Archaea; Nanobdellati; Candidatus Woesearchaeota. The record is from RNAcentral.
GCUCCGUUAGUCUAGCACGGUCAAGGAUUCGGCCCUCUCGAGGCCGAGACCCGAGUUCAAAUCUCGGACGGAGCA